AGCCCUGGAAACGGGGUCUAAUACCGGAUACGACCUGCUACCGCAUGGUGGCGGGUGGAAAGCUCCGGCGGUGAAGGAUGAGCCCGCGGCCUAUCAGCUUGUUGGUGAGGUAAUGGCUCACCAAGGCGACGACGGGUAGCCGGCCUGAGAGGGCGACCGGCCACACUGGGACUGAGACACGGCCCAGACUCCUACGGGAGGCAGCAGUGGGGAAUAUUGCACAAUGGGCGAAAGCCUGAUGCAGCGACGCCGCGUGAGGGAUGACGGCCUUCGGGUUGUAAACCUCUUUCAGCAGGGAAGAAGCGAGAGUGACGGUACCUGCAGAAGAAGCGCCGGCUAACUACGUGCCAGCAGCCGCGGUAAUACGUAGGGCGCAAGCGUUGUCCGGAAUUAUUGGGCGUAAAGAGCUCGUAGGCGGCUUGUCACGUCGAUUGUGAAAGCCCGAGGCUUAACCUCGGGUCUGCAGUCGAUACGGGCUAGCUAGAGUGUGGUAGGGGAGAUCGGAAUUCCUGGUGUAGCGGUGAAAUGCGCAGAUAUCAGGAGGAACACCGGUGGCGAAGGCGGAUCUCUGGGCCAUUACUGACGCUGAGGAGCGAAAGCGUGGGGAGCGAACAGGAUUAGAUACCCUGGUAGUCCACGCCGUAAACGGUGGGAACUAGGUGUUGGCGACAUUCCACGUCGU
RNAcentral lists this ribosomal RNA (682 nucleotides) under Actinomycetales bacterium TLI007. RNAcentral's name for it is "bacterial SSU rRNA". It matches the Rfam family "Bacterial small subunit ribosomal RNA", at positions 146 to 840 of the family's 1533-position model. The record is from RNAcentral. Lineage: Bacteria; Bacillati; Actinomycetota; Actinomycetes; Actinomycetales.